RNAcentral lists this ribosomal RNA (408 nucleotides) under uncultured bacterium. RNAcentral describes it as "bacterial SSU rRNA". It matches the Rfam family "Bacterial small subunit ribosomal RNA", at positions 505 to 916 of the family's 1533-position model. The record is from RNAcentral.
GUGUCAGCCGCCGCGGUAAUACGUAGGGGGCAAGCGUUGUCCGGAAUGACUGGGCGUAAAGGGUACGUAGGCGGUUAUGUAAGUCAGGUGUGAAAGGCUAGGGCUCAACCCUAGUAAGCACUUGAAACUGCGUGACUUGAGUCAAGGAGAGGAAAGUGGAAUUCCUGGUGUAGCGGUGAAAUGCGUAGAUAUCAGGAGGAAUACCAGUGGCGAAGGCGACUUUCUGGCCUUGGACUGACGCUGAGGUACGAAAGCGUGGGGAGCAAACAGGAUUAGAUACCCUGGUAGUCCACGCCGUAAACGAUGAGUGCUAGGUGUCGGGGAGUAAUCUUCGGUGCCGAAGUUAACACAUUAAGCACUCCGCCUGGGGAGUACGCACGCAAGUGUGAAACUCAAAUAAAUUGACGG